AAUAGAUUCGCAGGNNGACCUGCGGANGGAUCAUUAAAGAAUGCCCCGCUUUUUUGAAAUGGGUUCUAUUCCCAAACCGNUGNUAUACAUACCUUUGUUGCUUUGGCGGGCCGCCUUCGGGCGUCGGCUCACGCUGACCGCGCCUGCCAGAGGACCCAAACUCGUUUGUUUAGUGAUGUCUGAGUACUAUAUAAUAGUUAAAACUUUCAACAACGGAUCUCUUGGUUCUGGCAUCGAUGAAGAACGCAGCGAAAUGCGAUAAGUAAUGUGAAUUGCAGAAUUCAGUGAAUCAUCGAAUCUUUGAACGCACAUUGCGCCCCUUGGUAUUCCGAGGGGCAUGCCUGUUCGAGCGUCAUUAUGACCACUCAAGCCUAGCUUGGUAUUGGGGUUCGCGGUCUCGCGGCCCUUAAAAUCAGUGGCGGUGCCAUCUGGCUCUAAGCGUAGUAAUUUAUCUCGCUAUUGGGUCAGGUGGUUGCUUGCCAACAACCCCCAACUUCUAAGGUUGACCUCGGAUCAGGUAGGGAUACCCGCUGAACUUAAGCAUAUCAAUAAGCGGAGGAAAAGAAACCAACAGGGAUUGCCUCAGUAACGGCGAGUGAAGCGGCAACAGCUCAAAUUUGAAAUCUGGCUCUUUCAGGGUCCGAGUUGUAAUUUGUAGAAGAUGCUUUGGGUGUAGCUCCGGUCUAAGUUCCUUGGAACAGGACGUCAUAGAGGGUGAGAAUCCCGUAUGUGACUGGGUGCUUUCGCUCGUGUAAAGCUCUUUCGACGAGUCGAGUUGUUUGGGAAUGCAGCUCAAAAUGGGUGGUAAAUUUCAUCUAAAGCUAAAUAUUGGCCAGAGACCGAUAGCGCACAAGUAGAGUGAUCGAAAGAUGAAAAGCACUUUGGAAAGAGAGUUAAACAGUACGUGAAAUUGUUGAAAGGGAAGCGCUUGCAACCAGACUUGCGCGCUGUUGAUCAUCCGAGCUUCUGCCCGGUGCACUCGACAGCGUUCAGGCCAGCAUCGGUUUUGGUGGGCGGAUAAAGGCCUUGGGAAUGUAGCUUCUUUCGGGGAGUGUUAUAGCCCUCGGUGCAAUGCGCCCUACCGGGACC
Molecule: ribosomal RNA, 1089 nt
Filed under: uncultured fungus
Lineage: Eukaryota; Fungi
Description: eukaryotic LSU rRNA
Rfam family: Eukaryotic large subunit ribosomal RNA (bases 504-1089)
Source: RNAcentral